Molecule: long non-coding RNA, 2438 nt
Filed under: Sus scrofa (pig)
Lineage: Eukaryota; Metazoa; Chordata; Mammalia; Artiodactyla; Suidae
Description: lncRNA (ENSSSCG00060045413.1)
Rfam family: mir-155 microRNA precursor family (bases 1244-1308)
Source: RNAcentral
AUUCCUUUCUUCUUCCUCCUUAAGGUCUAAACGUUUAUUGAACGGAGGCUCAAAACCGAGUUACUGAACUAGGCUUUCAGUAGUAGACACGUGUCAUGUUUAAGAUUUAUUUUAUUCAUUUCCAUCCAUUGUGCCAAAGGACCUGCUCCAGGAAAAUGCUCCCCUGUUGAUAGGUGCGGGAGAGUAAAAGGGAGACGAUGAAGCUAAAUUAAAACUGAAGUCCUUUGUGCUCAGGGAAUAUGACCUUAGAGUGGGAGAGGGGCGGGGAGUGAGUAGAAAAGUCGGCGAAGCAAAAAUAAGGAAGGUUGGGGCCCUGUAACCUAGCAUCCUGAAAUAUCAGCGUAGGUAAGGUAGCAGGCAAGGCACGAAUGCACUCAAAGCCCAGGUGUACUUCCCUCAUCAAAUGCUGGCUCCCGAAGGGUACUGAGGGGAGGGGUCACGCGGGGGGAGGGGGGGUGUCCCUGGAUGGUUUUUUCCUCUUUAGGGACCUGCUUGCCGGAUGAUUCCGUCUCCCACUUGCUUCUCUUCGGCUCCUUCUUUCCCAUCUGCCAGGGGAGCUUAAAGACAUCUCUGCCGCCCAGUUACAAAAAGUGGCAACUUCCCCUCCGGCCCGCAGACUGAUCGCUCAUUUGAAUGCGUUUCCUUUUCAUUAAGAACAAAGGUUGGAGUCCGAGCCUCGCGGCGCGGCGGCCGGAAAGUACAAGAUGUGUGUCGAGAGCAAACACACACACACACACACACACACACACACACACACACAGAAUGACCCACGAGAAAGGGAAAGGGGAAAACACCAAUCCUGCGCUGGGCUUUUUCGACUUUUCCUUUAAAAAGAAAAAAGUUUUUCAAGCUGCGCGGGCUUCCUGUGCGCGGCUGAGCCGGGGCGCAGCGCGACGGUCCCAUCGGGCGGCCUCCACCCUCGGGACGCGAGCGGAGCGCCGAGCCCAGCGGCGAUCACGCGACGCGGGGAAGGAAGGAAGAUCUCUCCUUUCAAAGAUAACUAGCCAAAUGAACAUAAUAAACAAGUCCAAGCAGUUGGAGGGGCGGCCGCCACCCCACCGUCUCCAAAUAACUGAUUCGCAUUUCCGAGACGGUUCACCUGAAGCCUUGCCUGCCACCUUGGUUCUCCCACCUGAAGGAGAUGGUUCUAAUGGUGGCGCAAACCAGGAAGGGGAAAUCUGUGGUUUACGUUCUCUGUGCCUCAUCCCUCUCGGAGAGCUGGAGGCUUGCUGGAGGCUAUAUGCUGUUAAUGCUAAUUGUGAUAGGGGUUUUUACCUCCGUCUGACUCCUACAUGUUAGCAUUAACAGGGUAUGAUGCCUGUUACUAGCAUUCACAUGGAACAAACUGCUGCUGUGGGAGGAUGACAAAGAAGUGUGAGUCACCCUGCUGGAUAAACUCAGACUUUAAGCUUUAUUAUUUUUUGUUAAUCAUAAUCUGGUCACUGGGAUGUUCCACCUGAUAGUAAGUCUUAAGAAUAAGGUCUUGUAAAAGAUUUAUCAAUGGUAUCCUGAAAGCAAACUUUUUUACUUUAAUCCUGAAGCCCACAUAUUUUUAAAAAAAAAUCUUUAAUGGAAAAUGUAUUCCUGUCCUUUUUAAUUCACAGUUAUGGUUUGUUCAUUAUAACUGUUUAUAAACUUUGAAUAAUUUAACUGGAAAGAAAUAUAGACUAAACACAUUCUGAGUAUCUUUGCAGUUAAAAAUUAGGACUACUAUCCACUAAUUAAUCAUGGAUUGUUGGGAAAUAUGUUUAAAAAGAUUUAGAAAUAGGUAUUCCCCCCAUGUAACAAUUCUAUUUAGACAACUUCAGUUUCAAAUGGAUACUUUUAUAUGAAUCUUAAAGUAGACUUGAAAGGCUAUGGCAAUUAGUUUUUAAAAAAUGAAAGAUUUCAUUCUUUUUUAUGGCUGAGUAGUAUUCCAUUGCAUAUAUAUACCACAUAUCCUUAAUCCACCCAUUCGUCUGUCGCUGGACAUUUAGGCUGUUUCCAUUUGCAGCAACAUGGAUGCAAAUAGAGAUUCUCAUACUAAAUGAAGUUAAGUCAGAAAGAUAAAGACAAAUUCCAUAUGAUAUCAGUUACAUGUGGACUCAAAAAUAUGGCACAAAUGAACCUAUCUACAAAACAGAAACAGACCCACAGACAUAGAGAAUAGACUUGUGGUUGCCAAGGGGGAGGGAAGAGGGAGUGGGAUGGAUGGGCAGUUUGGGGUUAGUAGAUACAGACUAUUACAUUUAGAUUAGAUGGGCAAUGAGGUCCUACUAUUCAGCACGGGGAACUAUAUCCAGUCUCUUGGGAUAGACCAUGAUGGAAGAUAAUAUAAGACAAGGAAUGAAUAUAUACAUAUGACUGGGUCACCCUGCUGCAAUAGCAGAACUUGCCACAACGUUGUACAUCAACUAUACGUUAAUAAAAAAAUCAAAAAGAUUUUUUUAAAAUUAGUA